Molecule: ribosomal RNA, 253 nt
Filed under: uncultured bacterium
Lineage: Bacteria
Description: partial 16S ribosomal RNA
Rfam family: Bacterial small subunit ribosomal RNA
Source: RNAcentral
UACGGAGGGUGCAAGCGUUAUCCGGAUUCACUGGGUUUAAAGGGUGCGUAGGUGGGCUAGUAAGUCCGUGGUGAAAUCCCCGAGCUUAACUCGGGAACUGCCGUGGAUACUAUUAGUCUUGAAUAUCGUGGAGGUAAGCGGAAUAUGUCAUGUAGCGGUGAAAUGCUUAGAUAUGACAUAGAGCACCGAUAGCGGAGGCAGCUUACUACGCGAUUAUUGACACUGAGGCACGAAAGCGUGGGGAUCAAACAGG